UCAGAAGAGGCUACUACUAGCUAUCUAGCUUCAUGUUUAACUCUUCUUGGUUUGUGUUUUUGUGUGCUUGUUGGAGUUGUUAGGAGGAAGAGAGGGGUGAGAGGUGAGGCUGACAGAAGAGAGUGAGCACACAUGGUGACUUUCUUGCAUGCUGAAUGGACUCAUGCUUGAAGCUAUGUGUGCUCACUUCUCUCUCUGUCAGCCAUUUGAUCUCUCUUUCUCUCUUUCUCCCUCAUGUGUUAUACUGUUCUCUCAUAUCUAUCUUCUUUGAGGUAGUAAUAUACUUGAGCAAAUUAAGCUGCUUAAUUAUUUGUGUAUGAUGAUCAGCUGCUGAUCCGGCCUCAUUUCUUGCAUAUAUGAGAUCAGUUUCAACCACAACCACAUACAUGCUUGUUCAUUUUUUUUCACAAAGAAAGAGAACAGUUUAAUUUAAUUUCUUGGGGUUUUUGGAUCAGUUAAUUUGUCUUGAGAGGGGAAGAGAUCUCUAUGGGUUUUGGAGGUCUGACAGAAGAGAGUGAGCACACACGGUGCUUUCUUAGCAUGCAAGAGCCAUGCUGGGAGCUGUGCGUGCUCACUCUCUAUCUGUCAGCCGUUCACCAUGCCCAAUAUGAUUAAUCUCCUUCUCUCAGUUGACAGUAAUUUCUUUGCCAGAUCUCCUGUUAAAUUUUCUGCCUAGCUAGCUAUUAUGCACAUGCUUAUUAUGAUGGGCUUGCCAAUACCAUCUCCACGGCAAAACACAAACUAGCUAUGAUUUGAUUCAUUAUAUUUCUUUUCGCUGUUUAAUUAAUUAUAUGCAG
This 797-nucleotide precursor RNA is filed under the name Oryza rufipogon (brownbeard rice). RNAcentral's name for it is "putative precursor microRNA R156bc". The stretch from base 502 to 589 matches the Rfam family "mir-156 microRNA precursor family". The record is from RNAcentral. Lineage: Eukaryota; Viridiplantae; Streptophyta; Magnoliopsida; Poales; Poaceae.